GCAUAUCAAUAAGCGGAGGAAAAAGGAACUAACAAGGAUUCCCCUAGUAACUGCGAGUGAAGCGGGAAAAGCUCAAAUUUAAAAUCUGGYGGCCUUCGGUCAUCCGAGUUGUAAUCUAGAGAAGUGUUACCCGCGUCGGACCGUGUACAAGUCUCCUGGAAUGGAGCGUCAUAGAGGGUGAGAAUCCCGUCUUUGACACGGACUACCGAGGCUUUGUGGUGCGCUCUCAACGAGUCGAGUUGUUUGGGAAUGCAGCUCAAAAUGGGUGGUAAAUUCCAUCUAAAGCUAAAUAUUGGCGAGAGACCGAUAGCGAACAAGUACCGUGAGGGAAAGAUGAAAAGAACUUUGGAAAGAGAGUUAAACAGUACGUGAAAUUGCUGAAAGGGAAACGCUUGAAGUCAGUCGCGUUGGCCGGAAAUCAGCCUUCCUUUUGGUUGGUGUACUUUCUGGUUGACGGGCCAGCAUCAGUUUUGACCGGUGGAUAAAGUUGUAGGGAAUGUGGCAUCUUCGGGUGUGUUAUAGCCUUGCUUCGUAUACAUCGGUUGGGACUGAGGAACUCAGCACGCCGAAAGGCCGGGGUUCGCCCACGAUCGUGCUUAGGAUGCUGGCAUAAUGGCUUUAAUCGACCCGUCUUGAAACACGGACCAAGGAGUCUAACAUGCCUGCGAGUGUUUGGGUGGAAAACCCGAGCGCGUAAUGAAAGUGAAAGUCGAGAUCCUUGUCAUGGGGAGCAUCGACGCCCGGACCAGACGUUUUCUGACGGUUCUGCGGUAGAGCAUGUAUGUUGGGACCCGAAAGAUGGUGAACUAUGCCUGAAUAGGGUGAAGCCAGAGGAAACUCUGGUGGAGGCUCGUAGCGAUUCUGACGUGCAAAUCGAUCGUCAAAUUUGGGUAUAGGGGCGAAAGACUAAUCGAACCAUCUAGUAGCUGGUUCCUGCGA
RNAcentral lists this ribosomal RNA (939 nucleotides) under Ephemerocybe subpurpurea. RNAcentral's name for it is "LSU rRNA". It matches the Rfam family "Eukaryotic large subunit ribosomal RNA", at positions 38 to 963 of the family's 3401-position model. The record is from RNAcentral. Lineage: Eukaryota; Fungi; Basidiomycota; Agaricomycetes; Agaricales; Psathyrellaceae.